AGAGAAGUGAGAGGUGUCAGAUGGCUGCUGCAAGGACCAGUAACAAUCAGUGUUUAGAGGAGUUGCCUAUGGGAAACCAUUGAGGAGGCACGAAACUCUGGAGGAACUUGCUGGAAAUGGUGCCUCAGAUGUCAAGCGCUCAUUGAUGUCUGUGUUUUCAAGCUAGACCUGGGACCAUUAUGCUGACAGUGAUAGCAGUCAGUUUGUCAAAUGGAAUGACACUGUCUCUCCAGAUUCUGUUCUUUGUGGCCAUGGGAUUCUGUCAGAAGCCUUGGCACACAGUACACAGCCCUUGUGAAAUUUAUAGCUGCAAUCCUGCUCAGAAAUAGAGCACACCAGCAUAAUUAGCUGACUUUGCCUUUUACAAAGAUUGCUGGAGAAACUGGAUACAACUGUCCAGGAAUUAUCCUGGCACAUUGAUUCCCUGAGUUUGGAGUGUAUAUCAGUGUUUAAAAUGGAGUGUUUUAAUGAAACAGUUAGGAAGAAGGGAACUCUACAGGAACCUGGGGGGAUGUGCUCAUGAGGUGCUUCUAUGGACUGCUGUCCACAAGAAUACAGAAGUGGAUAAUGUUUAAGAAGAAAUAGGAGUUCAAAAAUCCCCAUGUGUGACACUGAGAAGACAACCCCAGAUGGUCAAUCUGCAGCUUUGUGGAGUGACACACCCAGGGGCUACUUUUCAGCUGCCAACACAAGUAAUGCUGAAUUUUCCCAUUGUGAGGGAUGUUACCACCCCCUUUGCAUGGCUGGAACCCAAAGGGAAACAGAGGCCUUGCAUUUUCCUUGUUUUCAUACCCCCUGUUUUCCCUCCCUGUUUUCAUACUCUCAAAUGGGAGAGGGAUGCAACAUGGGCAAAUUGAAUUGAGUGUAGUUUUUGAGAUGCAUUCAUAUGUUUGCCUCUAUUCCUCGUUACAACAGCUGCUGAUAAUUCAGGGCCUUUUAAGUCCUUGUUUGGUUUGCCAAGAUAGGCAUCCAGAAAGGCACAGCUUCAAAAGGCUGGAAUAUGUAAAGGGAUUUUGAAAACAUUUGAAAUGAGAAUAGAUUUGGGGUUUGUAGUUGUCAUGUCCUGGAGGUGUUAGGAGAUGUGUGAACAGGUUCUAUGAGAUGGAGAGGUCCUUGAAAAGGAAGGUAGGCAGGAAGUUGUUCCUUUUAUGAGAGUAAGGACCAACGAGGCACGGCCAUGAAGAGAGCCCUGUGGCAACAGUUCUUGGAUUGGAGGCGGAGGGGCAGUCUGUCUGACACAUGGCACUCUGGAUGUCAAAGCAGGCAGUGCAGCCCAGUGUGUAUUCCAGGGAUAUUGGAGCAUGCUGCAGUUAUUUCAGAGCCACUGCUUCUCCUGGCCAGUUGGUGCAGAGCUCUGUGGCUGCCUGCCCUGAGCUGUGUUUGGAACAAGGUUUGCAGUGCAUGCAGUCCUGUCCCAGCUCUCACCACCAACAUGGGCACUGGGCAGGGGCUGCACAUAGACACAGAGAGCUGCUACCAACAUGUGAACAGCACGUGGAAAGGCUGAAGUCAAAACCCACAUGACUUGCACCUUACUUAGAUGUGGCCAAGACUUGUUCGGAUGAUGGAUCUGGACUUGUGAUCUGUGUGUUUUUUUCACCCUAAGGCAAAUUGCCAUCCUGAACUCCAGGCCCGUCUGUUGACAAUGUGGCUGGCAUCCCUGGGACCAUGCAUAUGAAAGAGGUUUUACAGUGACUUCUGGGAGCCAGAGGAAAAUUUGAUAAGAGGGUCCAUGUUUACCCCUGAAAGAAUUUUCUACCAUGGCUGUUGAUAUAGAAACCAAGAAAGAAAGAAGGAUAAGUAAGAGAAACCUGCAACUGCCUAUUCCAAUAAGCGCUUUGUCUCUCAUGACCAAUGAGUAAAGUGUAAACUUAUGAGUCUUGUAAGAAUGUAUAAAAAACCUGGAGUUUUGAAGCCUACUGA
Molecule: long non-coding RNA, 1923 nt
Organism: Zonotrichia leucophrys gambelii
Lineage: Eukaryota; Metazoa; Chordata; Aves; Passeriformes; Passerellidae
Exons: 5
Source: RefSeq, a predicted model, not a curated record